ACUGGAAGGUCCCUAAACCGAAAGGGGCUCUGCCCGCCCGAGGAUGGGCCGGCGGCCGAUUAGGUAGUUGGUGGGGUAACGGCCCACCAAGCCCAUAAUCGGUACGGGCAGUGAGAGCUGGAGCCCGGAGAUGGACACUGAGACACGGGUCCAGGCCCUACGGGGCGCAGCAGGCGCGAAACCUCCGCAAUGCUCGAAAGAGCGACGGGGGGACCCCAAGUGCCGUGGUACAACCACGGCUUUUCCGGAGUGUAAGAAGCUCCGGGAAUAAGGGCUGGGCAAGGCCGGUGGCAGCCGCCGCGGUAAUACCGGCGGCCCGAGUGGUGGCCACUAUUAUUGGGCCUAAAGCGUCCGUAGCCGGGCUUGUAAGUCCCUGGCGAAAUCCCACGGCUCAACCGUGGGGCUUGCUGGGGAUACUGCAAGCCUUGGGACCGGGAGAGGCCGGGGGUACUCCUGGGGUAGGGGUGAAAUCCUAUAAUCCCAGGAGGACCGCCAGUGGCGAAGGCGCCCGGCUGGAACGGGUCCGACGGUGAGGGACGAAGGCCAGGGGAGCAAACCGGAUUAGAUACCCGGGUAGUCCUGGCUGUAAAGGAUGCGGGCUAGGUGUUGCUUGGACCUCGAGUCCAAGCAGUGCCGCAGGGAAGCCGUUA
This 650-nucleotide ribosomal RNA is filed under the name uncultured archaeon. RNAcentral's name for it is "bacterial SSU rRNA". It matches the Rfam family "Archaeal small subunit ribosomal RNA", at positions 169 to 817 of the family's 1478-position model. The record is from RNAcentral.